AGGUUAAUGACAAAGUGCUCGUAUCGGUGAAAACAGGCAGAUCGUAAAGACGCCGUAAACCCAUCCCUGGGGGCUCGACCCGCGCCAUCCCUGGCGCGGACACUUU
Molecule: non-coding RNA, 106 nt
Filed under: Yersinia enterocolitica
Lineage: Bacteria; Pseudomonadati; Pseudomonadota; Gammaproteobacteria; Enterobacterales; Yersiniaceae
Description: Yersinia sRNA 224
Rfam family: Yersinia sRNA 224
Source: RNAcentral